RNAcentral lists this transfer RNA (67 nucleotides) under Hutchinsoniella macracantha. Its description in RNAcentral is "tRNA-Gly". The record is from RNAcentral. Lineage: Eukaryota; Metazoa; Arthropoda; Cephalocarida; Brachypoda; Hutchinsoniellidae.
AAUCAAUUAGUAUAAGAAGUACGGUUAACUUCCAAUUAGCAGGUUUAAAUUUAUUGUAAAUUGAUUA